UACAGAGGUCUCAAGCGUUGUUCGGAUUCAUUGGGCGUAAAGGGUGCGUAGGCGGCGCGGUAAGUCGGGUGUGAAAUCUCUGAGCUUAACUCAGAAACUGCCAUGGAUACUAUCUGUCUUGAAUAUUGUGGAGGUAAGCGGAAUAUGUCAUGUAGCGGUGAAAUGCUUAGAUAUGACAUAGAACACCAAUUGCGAAGGCAGCUUGCUACACAGUUAUUGACGCUGAGGCACGAAAGCGUGGGGAUCAAACAGG
This 253-nucleotide ribosomal RNA is filed under the name uncultured bacterium. RNAcentral describes it as "partial 16S ribosomal RNA". It matches the Rfam family "Bacterial small subunit ribosomal RNA", at positions 524 to 776 of the family's 1533-position model. The record is from RNAcentral.